Molecule: ribosomal RNA, 254 nt
Filed under: uncultured bacterium
Lineage: Bacteria
Description: partial 16S ribosomal RNA
Rfam family: Bacterial small subunit ribosomal RNA
Source: RNAcentral
UACGGAGGGUGCAAGCGUUGUCCGGAUUUACUGGGCGUAAAGGGCGCGUAGGCGGCCAGCACAAGUCAGUUGUGAAAUCUCCGAGCUUAACUCGGAACGGUCAACUGAUACUGUGCGGCUAGAGUGCGGAAGGGGCAACUGGAAUUCUUGGUGUAGCGGUGAAAUGCGUAGAUAUCAAGAGGAACACCUGCGGCGAAGGCGGGUUGCUGGGCUGACACUGACGCUGAUGCGCGAAAGCCAGGGGAGCGAACGGG